UACGAAGGGUGCUAGCGUUGUUCGGAAUCACUGGGCGUAAAGCGCGCGUAGGCGGCUUUUCAAGUCAGGGGUGAAAUCCCACGGCUCAACCGUGGAAUUGCCUCUGAAACUGGGAAGCUGGAGUAUUGGAGGGGAUAGCGGAAUUGCUAAUGUAGAGGUGAAAUUCGUAGAUAUUAGCAGGAACACCGGUGGCGAAGGCGGCUAUCUGGACAAUUACUGACGCUGAAGUGCGAAAGCGUGGGGAUCAAAC
Molecule: ribosomal RNA, 250 nt
Filed under: uncultured bacterium
Lineage: Bacteria
Description: partial 16S ribosomal RNA
Rfam family: Bacterial small subunit ribosomal RNA
Source: RNAcentral